This is a long non-coding RNA of Cryptotermes secundus, 463 nucleotides long. RefSeq lists it as uncharacterized. The record is from RefSeq and is a predicted model, not a curated record. Lineage: Eukaryota; Metazoa; Arthropoda; Insecta; Blattodea; Kalotermitidae. The transcript is spliced from 3 exons.
AUGUGUCAGCAUAUUUUACGUACUAGCCACUGCACGCAUCGAUAUUCUAAUUUUCGAUUAUUCUACCGCUUAGUAGUAGGUCUGCUCUGUAGACACGUGUCAGUGAUUUGUGAAGUUGUCUGCAAAGUUUGUUUGUGAUAUUAUUUACAAACGUAUUCACUAGUUAUUAUGAUGCUAUGUGGCUCUAAGUGAAGACUGUAAUUGACCAUUAUUUAUACUUGUGAGGCAUUAAAUUAGUGUCAGUGGAAUCAUGUGAACUAUUGUAAAAGAAUGAACUUUUCCAAGUGAACCUUUCAAUAUACGAACAAGAAGAUGAUAUCGUUCCUGUUUUGUUCUAGCCAGUCCACUGCUUGGCGUGAAAACUACAUUGUCGGCGCAGUGUGGGAGCGUAUGUUCAUGGACCACUUCAGCAACGGGGACUCCAGCCUUACAAGAAGAAGGGUGCUGUGAUGCAGGUAAGGAA